AGAGACACCUAUGCAAAUGCAAUGUUGAAGAACAGGAAAAAAGGACCCUCAUUUAAUUUUGGCUAGGUGCUGGCAGGUUUUGCUUCACUCUUUUGAAGAUGAAAGACAGCUGUGGGCAUAGGUGACUCCACCUUUAAAGUACUCAGGAAGCUUGAGUGGCAUCUAAAUAUAACCAUCUGGCUGGAGUGCAGCAGCGUUGUCCCGGCUCACUGCAGUCUUAACAUUUCCUGGCUCAAGUGAUUCUCCUGCUUCAGGUUCCCGAGUAGCUAGGACUACAGCUGUGCAGAAACUAAAACUUGAUGUUGUGUCCGGAAUUGGUGGGUUCUUGGUCUCACUGACUUGAAGAAUGAAGCCGCGGACGCUCGCGCUCAACAAGACUGCAGCUCGCUGCUUGAGUUCCACCUUCCUAAGCCAGGGUGGAAAAUGUUCCUAAGAAGGUGGCCAGGGGAUGAGAAGGCCUCAGGAAGCUUGUAAUCAUGGUGGAAGGGGAUGCAAACACAUUCUUCUUCAGAUGGCAGCAGCAAGGAGAAGUACAGAGCAAAAGGGGGAAAAGGCUCUUAUACAACCAUCAGAUCUUGUGAGAACUCACUCACUAUCAUGAGAACAGCAUGGAGGUACAUGGAGGUAAUGGGCUCCCAUGAUUCAAUUACCUCCCACUUGUCCCUCCCAUUACACAUGGGGAUUAUGGGAACUACACUUCAAGGUGAGAUUUUAUGAGAUUUGAAUGGGAACACAGCCAAACCAUAUCAUUCCACUAUUGACCCCUCCCAAAUCUCUUGUCUUCACAUUUCCAAACGUAAUCAUGCCCUCCAACAAUCCCCUAAAGUCUUAACUCAUUCCAGCAUUAACUCAAAAGUCCAAGUCCAAAGAGUCUUAUCUGAGACAAGGCAAGUCCCUUCCACCUAUGAGCCUAUAAAAUCAAAAGCAAGUUAGUCCCUUCCUAGAUACAAUGAAAGUACAGGCCUUGGGUAAAUACAUCUGUACUAAAUGGGAGAAAUUGGACAAAACAAAGAGGCUACAGGACCCAUGCAAGUUCAAAAUCCAAUAGGAUAGUCCUUAAACUUUAAAGUUCCAAAAUGAUCUCCUUUAACUCCAUGUCUUAUAUCCAGGACAUGCUGAUUCAAAAGUUAGGCUCCCACAGCCAUGGGCAGCUUUGUCCUUGUGGCUUUACAGGGUACAGGCCCCCUCCUGUCUGCUUUCAUGGGCUGGUGUUGAGUGUCUGUGGCUUUUCCAGGUGCACAGUGGCCCACUCCUGCAGCAAACUUCUGCCUGGACAUCCAGGAAUUCCAUACAUCCUCUGCUAUCUAGGUGGAGGUUCCCAAACCUCAAUUAUUGAUUUCUCUGCACCUGCAGGCUGAACACCAUGGGAAACCACCAAGGCUUGGGGCUUGCACCCUCUGAAGCCAAGGCUUGAGCUGUACCCUGGCCACUUUUAGCAGUGGCUGGAGCAGCUGGGAUACAGGGCACCAAGUUCCUAGGCUGCAAACAGGAGGGUGAGCCCAGCCCAACAAACCAUUUUUUCCUCCUAGGCCUUGGGCUUAUGAUGGGAGGGGCUUCCAUGAAGGUCUGUGACAUACCCUGGAGACAUUUUUCCCAUUGCCUUGGUAAUUAACAUUUCACUUCUUGUUAUGCAAAUUUCAUAGCAGGCUUGAAUUUCUCCCCAGUAAAAUGGGUUUUUCUUUUCUAUUCUAUUGUCAGGCUGCAAAUUUUUCAAACUUUUAUAUUCUGCUUCCUCUUGAAUGCUUUGCUGCUUAGAAAUUUAUUCUGCCAGUUACCGUAAAUCAUCUCUCUCAAGUUUAAAGUUUCACAGAUGACUAGGGAAGGGACAAAAUGCUGCCAGUCUCUUUGCUAAAGCAUAGGAAGAGUCACCUUUGCUCCAGUUGCCAACAAGUUCCUCAUCUCCAUCUGAGACCACCUCAGCCUGGACUUUACUGUCCAUAUCACUAUCAGAAUUUUGGUCAAAGCCAUUCAACAAGUUUCUAGGAAGUUCCAAACUUUCCCACGUCUUCUUAUCUUCUUCUGAGCCCUCCAAACUGUUCCAGCCUCUGUCUGUUACCCAGUCCCAAAGUCAUUUCCACAUUUUUGGGUAUCUUUAUAGCAGCAUCCCACUCUACCAGUACCAAUUUACUAUAUUAGUCCAUUCUCACACUGCUAAUAAAGACAUACCUAAGACUGGGUAAUUUAAAAAGGAAAGAAGUUUAAUUGACUCACAGUUCUGCAGGGUUGGAGAGGCCUCAGGAAACUUAAAAUCAUGGCAGAAAAAGAAGCAAACAUAUCCCUCUUCACAAGGCGACAGCAAGGAGAAGUGCAGAUCAAAGUAGAGGGAAAACCCCGUAUAAAACCAUCAGAUCUUGUGAGAACUCACUCACUAUUACGAGAACAGCAUGGACAUAACCACCCCUAUCAUUCAAUUACCUCCCACGGUGCCCCUUCCAUGACAUGUGGGGAUUGUGGGAACUAUAAUUCAAGAUGAGAUUUGGGUGGGAAAACAGCCACACCAUACCA
Molecule: long non-coding RNA, 2505 nt
Organism: Symphalangus syndactylus (siamang)
Lineage: Eukaryota; Metazoa; Chordata; Mammalia; Primates; Hylobatidae
Source: RefSeq, a predicted model, not a curated record